ACGAUUGAUUUCGCGAACAUAUGCAUUACCCCAGUCCAUCAGAGUAACCUCUUCGUCCUGCUUGAAAGAUUGAGCAUCAGCUUGUUCAAUUAAAAUUUCAUUAGCAAAAAUGCUCUUCUUGUUCCCUAACUCUGGGUUCUUCUUAUGUCUGGGACGGUCUUCGGCAUAAGGAGCAGCAGGACCAUUAACUAUGGUAGCUUUGACAACAUCACCGCUUUCGACAGCUGUAUGGCGUGGAGCAACGGGAUCAAUGAUUUUCUUAUUGGUUGCCCAGAAAGAAGUCCAAUCCAAAGUAAGGAUGUUUUUACUAGGACCUUGAGAGACGAUGUAUUGUUGUAAUGCUUCAAUGGUCAUACCACGUCUACGGACACCACGAACGGUGGGGAAACGAGGAUCAUCCCAUCCCCAAACAAGACCGUGGUCAACAAUCUCAGUAAGCUUACGCUUACUUAACAAUGUACGUACAAAGUUCAUACGAGAAAAUUCCCAAACAUGGAUUUUACGGAGGUUCAUUGCCUUAAUCAUCCAUUGAUAUAAGGGAUUGCGAUCACGGUACUCAGUAGUGCGCAAUGCAUGUGUUACACCCUCGAGGGAGUCGACAAUGGGACAAGCAAAGUCAUAAGUAGGAUAAGCACGAUACUUGGUCCCAGUACGAUGGUGAGGUAAUAAAUUGCAACGGUAAAUGACGGGGUCGCGCAUUGCUUUGUUGGGAUUUUCAUAUGAAAUCUUGGCACGAAUGCAGUUCUUGAGACCGACGUCUGAACCCUUAUCCAUUUCAGAGAGAAUCUCUAGGGACUCCUCGAUAGGACGGUCACGAUGCUUGCUGGGAAUUCCUUCGGUACGCUCAUGGCGCAUAGUUUCAACGUCAGUAUCAUCAGCAUAAGCUUGGCCUGAUUUGAUCAUAUCAACGCAAUAUUGAUGAAUAGUGUCAAGAUAGUCAGAUGUAUAAGUGACGACGUCGGGCUUAAUACCGAGUAAGGCGACAUCCUCCAAAAUGGCGUCUUGAAAUUCUGAGUUUUCUUUACUAGGAUUGGUGUCAUCGAAACGAACAAUCAGUUUUCCGUGGUAUUUGUUAGCAAAAUAUUGAUUUAAAAGUGCGGCCUUUGCGUGUCCAAUGUGCAAAUAUCCACUAGGUUCGGGAGGAAAUCUGGUGACCACCUUACCAUCAAUGGCAUCAGGAAGACCGAUCUCGUAGUUAGGACCAGAAGAUUUUUGUUUUUUGCUAAUAUUAACUGCCUUGGUGAAUUCUUCCAUGGUGACACUCACGGCAUUUUGAGAAUCCAUAAACUUGUACCAACGAGCAAGGUUGAAAUACUGGCCAGUGCGUACGGCACCAGCUGCCAUGUUGUUUGAUUUUAAGGCACCCCAAAUAGAAAAAUCAGCAGAGGUGAGGGAAUAACCCACAAAAAGAGAGCGCAUAAUUAAAUGGUCGUCUAACUGAGCAAGAAGUGAAGAAAGCUCAAGAAAGUUGUGGUUACCAGCUAAGGCAGAGGCAGUUUCCACCCAACUCUCAACCAAAGAACGAUCGUUUUCGCCAAUGAAAAGUUUAGGAUAGACUUGAGAGAAAGUCUGUAAAGCCAACUUGGAACCGAAUACAGGAGAAUCAGAGCCGUUAAGCUGAAUGGAGACGUUCGAUUCCUUGUUUUGUUUGUCUAAUAAAGCAACGUCCUCAUACUUGACGGAAAUGCUUCCUGCACCAGACAGAUUCACAUAAUUUGCACAUGCAACUGCACCAUAAGCAAUGGGCUUUGCUUUUAAUGCAACACUAACUGACAUUUUCCCAAAACCGGUGGUGAAAAUUGUCGAACUUGGUUCGUGGUAAGUUGGUGUCGAAGUGAUUUUUAGGGUAUUAGUGUAUGGUAAAGGUAUGUUUGCAAAACACUAAAAAUCCAAACCAGAAAAAUUCGAACGCAGUACGAAGUUGACCGAAAAAAAAGGAUUCUAUUUAAGUACAAAUUAGAUUAUAGAUAAGGAAUUCAAGUUCAUGUCUGACCUUGAUUAAUUUUCUUUCCAGCAUUUUUCGCUAAUCUGCUAAUUUUAUACAGAUAUGAACCGAAACCGAGGGUUUCUCGUUAUACUGUUUACCAUUUUCUAACGUAAAUCGGUAUACCGAUAAGAAAAGAGAAUAGAUACAUAAUAACAGAGUGGAGUUGAAACAAUCAGAAGAAUGGAAGAAAAGUCAUUUUUUU
Molecule: long non-coding RNA, 2189 nt
Filed under: Schizosaccharomyces pombe (fission yeast)
Lineage: Eukaryota; Fungi; Ascomycota; Schizosaccharomycetes; Schizosaccharomycetales; Schizosaccharomycetaceae
Source: RNAcentral